Long non-coding RNA from Wasmannia auropunctata (little fire ant), 1672 nucleotides. RefSeq lists it as uncharacterized. Lineage: Eukaryota; Metazoa; Arthropoda; Insecta; Hymenoptera; Formicidae. The record is from RefSeq and is a predicted model, not a curated record. The transcript has 2 exons.
ACAGGUAUCGUCGUGAUAUUCGUCGACCCGAUAAUAGUUUCGAUCGGGAACAGACUGCACGAUACAUUGCGCUCGACCGUCAAUUAACGGUAACCGAUAAUCCAAAAUAAUGACAAGCGAUUGCAGUUUUGCGCCCCGCGAUAACUGUUUGUCGAUUUAAAAAGCGUAGAGGACCUGCAGUUUAAUUUUGUAUUGCAGACAAUUAAACUCAUCUUGCGACAGCAGUGUCGCUGCGCUGCGGGAUGAAAGGCAAGGAUAUGCAGAUGAUGGUGGAAUUAAAUUAUUUGUUUAUUCACGAGUUAACGUCCAUUAAAGGGUAAUUACGUAUGUACAUUGACGUGCAUCGACACACGGAGACAAAGAAAGAGUUACGAAAGGAACAAGUACAUUUUUGAGAAAGGCAAAGAGAGAGAGAGAGAGAGAGAGAGAAGUUUCGAAAAGUUUCACUGGAAAAUUAAUUGCGUCAGUUUGCUGCAAUUGUGAUGCGAUGUUGAAUUAUAUUGAACGGCAGUUACUAGAGAUCUGUACAACUCCGUGCGCCGAUUAAUCAAAGAGAUACUUUAUGUCCCGGCGAAGUUAUUGCGAAAUUAUUACUACAAGUAUGCUCUCGCGAGGAUGCCUGGCGAUUACAUGAUUAAUUCCCCCCUCCCCCUCCCUUCACCCUCACCCUCCCUUCCCUCGUAUAUACGAUGCUGGAUACGAAAUGGGUACACUCGUUAGCUCGCGAUAAUAAAAUUAGUAGUCGCGGACGUCGUCAUUAAUCCUCCUUAAGCGAUAAAGUAGCCGGCACGUUGUAAUAAUGGAGUAUUAGAUCUCAUUAUUGCGGGAUAAUUGGAAAAUGGUGGAAUGGCGCGGAAGAUGUGGGUUACAUAGGGAUACAUACAAACUACAUGGGUGAGCAUAAGAUAAUUGAAUUGCCGCCGUGCCCCGCGCGUGAAGUCCGCGAUUAACGGGAAUUUAUUAAUUUAUCAUCAUACGUUGCUCGAUAUACUAGUUCGGGGAGGGGGGAGGGGCCCGGGAUCUGUAUCUAUAUAAGCCAAUUAUUAUCCACGCUGGAAACUAAAAACUUUCGCGAAACGACCGACAAGCCCCGCGCGCGCGUCAUAAAUUACGUCGAGGAUUACCAUUAUGAUUUCACGAUUAAUGAUUCUCGUAAUCCGAAUUGAUUCGGAUCGAAGCUAUAAUUGGUAUCUAUUAAAAUCCCCGCGAUUGGGAUUUCCCCUCCUCCUUCCUCUCCUCCCGUCUCAUUUAGUUUGAUCUUCUCGUAGUAAACGACAUAUCGAUUAUUCCACGAAGAGGGUCGUUAACGAGACGUUGUGAUAGUAAGGUAGCGAUAUUACGUUACAUUUAAUCGCGCUUCGGCGUCGCGGCGGCAGCGGCGUCUGCCAGACUAGGCAAAACGGAUCAUUCAGUUAUGCAGGCUGCAGCUCCGUCAAUGUAGGCCUAACGAUCUCGCAAUGAUUAGAUCAUGUGUACCGCACGUACGUAUCCCGUUCUAAUUGGCGUAAUGACGAUAGCUAAUUAAGCGGAGCUAAACAUGUUGUAACAAGUCGAUUAUUCGUAAGCCGUACCGGAUCGUGUUCUGGUGUAUAAUUCUGUUUUCCUGCGUGUAAAUUAAUGAGUGUAAUGAACGUUGCAGGAAUAAAAUAAAAUGUUACGCGUUCGAAACUAA